Non-coding RNA from Triticum aestivum (bread wheat), 115 nucleotides. Lineage: Eukaryota; Viridiplantae; Streptophyta; Magnoliopsida; Poales; Poaceae. The record is from Rfam.
UAUAUACUCCCUCCGUUCCUAAUUACUCGUCGCAAAAGUGGAUAUAUCUAGAACUAAAAUACAUCUAGAUAUAUCUAUUUCUAUGACGAGUAAUUCAGAACGGAGGGAGUAGUCU